GCAGGGCGGGAGGGGGUGGCGGGGAAAGCACGUGAGGGCAGCGGGGCCGGAACCGGGCCUCCUCCCUUCUUUGGAGGCCUGACCGGAGAGGAGGAUGCAGGGACAGGCCAGGCCCAGCCAGUGGGAAAGGGGUAGCAGAGCCAGUGCACACUCCUCGGCUGGGCCCCCGGAAGCCCAGCUGGGAACAGAUGGAGUUCCAGACACAGCUGUGUCCAGCUAGCAGGACGCCAGAUCUGAAAAGUGGAUGGGCCUGGACUGUCAAACUUGGAGGGUGCAGAGACCCACCGAGAGCCUCGGCCAGCCAGACCAGCAUCUGGGAACCAGAAGUCCUAGCUGGCAGACUGUCUGGACUCCCGGCUUCCUACCCUGUUGUGUGACUUUUGAAGAUAAACUACAAAGGAGUCACAGCCAGCUGGCACCCCCUUCCCUGAGUCAGCCCAGCCCACACCCACCUCAGUGGACACGGGUCACCUACGAGAUUCUCCAGAGCGUGCAGCGGCCCCUGCUCCCCUGUCCUCAGAGAAGGCAGUGGUGCAUAGACCAGGCCUAGGACCCGCACUCUGCCGGAGAACAUCCAAGGCUGCCUGGGAAGGGAGGAAGUGUCAGAAAGGCACGCGCUGCUCAGGUCAAGAAAAUGGGGUCUGGGACUGGACACACCACUGAGCUCUUAAAUGCAGAAAGAAUACUUCCAGCACCCCAAAAUGUUCCUGCACGCCCUUUCCAGGCAAAGCUCCCUGCAUCACAGGUAAGCACCAUCUCAGAUCCUUUUAGCUCCAGCAGUCUGAACUAUAUUCUUUCUGCUGCUAGCAUGAGCUGUCACUUCAGCUUUCAAGGACUCUCUGCGUCCUAUGGAAAGAGCCCUAAGAUCUGGACUUUAAUCUUGGCCCCGUCACUUCACCUCUCUGGGUCUCUUUUUUUGUGCCAAAUCAACUGCUGCUUUGCUUGCGGCUCUGAUCUGUUCUCCACCCUUCCCCUGCUCUGUUCUGUUCCCUAUUGGGAACUACAUUUCCCAGAGUGCUUUUCCCUCUGGCUUCCCUGUAGGCUCAGCCAGUGGGAAGACAGGUGGGUGGAGGACAAUUUGGUGGGAAGAGGGAAGAAGCCAGGCGAUUCCUCUGCUUCUCUGCUUUCUGACAAGGCGCGCAGCUGGUUGUGUUGCUUCCUUCCAUCCUUCCACUAUCCCAUCCCCUGCCAGGCAGCCCCCACUAUUUAGUUCCUGCCAAAUAGCUCUGGAGGCUUCUGGGUCUGUAAGGCUUCUGUAUAAGUUUGUCUUUCCAGCCCUAGAGAGGUAGCUGCUUCCUGCUUUGCUAUUUUCUGGGUUGCCUUGCUGUCCCCCACUGGCUUCUCAGCACUUCCAUCAACCAUGUACCAAUUCUCUGUGUUAAGUUUCUUCCAUUUGAAAGACAUAGAGUGUUUCCUCUUUCUGGACACUGAUGGACAAAUCUCACCCAUGAAUGGUGAUUAUGCCUGCCCUGCCUUCUCCGGGAGGGUGAGGGGAGCCUCACAAGGUGAGGCGUCCAUGAACUCUUCACGGGCAGACAUCGUCUCUGCUUCUUCCCUUUCGUGUUCUUCAUCGGCUUCCUUGAGGUUUUGCUGAUUUCCGUGGGGCAACACCAGACCCCGACUGAGUGCCCCAUAGACCCCCAGAGUGUGUGGGAGUGAGGCUUUUCUCCAGGCCCUCUCCAGAGGGGGUUGCUGGGAGAUCCUUCUUCCCAGAGGCCCAUGGGAAUCCAAAAGGAGGGUUUAUGGGAAUGGAUUCUUUUUUUUUUUUUUUUUGAUUUUUAUUAGAGUAUAGUUGAUAUACAAUGUUGUGUUAGUUUCUGCUGUAUAGCAAAGUGAAUCAGUUGUACAUAUACAUAGAUCCACUCUUUUUUAGAAUUUUUUCGCAUAUAGGUCAUUACAGAGUAUUGAGUAGAGUUCCCUGUGCUAGCCAGUAGAUCCUUAUUAGUUAGCUAUUUUAUAUAGAGUAGUGUGUGUAUGUCAGUCCCAGUCUUCCAUUUUAUCUCUCCCCCUCCUUUCCCCCUGUGGAUUCUUCUAAAUAAUCUUCUUUCUCCCCUCUUCCCCAUACUGCUCUCAACCAGCUGCUGUCCUUGAAUAGGGUCUGGUAAACACUGAGAAAUGUGUAAUCGAUGAGGGUUGUCCUUCUCCAGAAUAUUUUCACUGGGGACAAUCCCUCAGCCCAACUGGGUGAUUUUCUCAUCUGGGGUGAUUUUGCCCCCUAGAAGACAUUUGGCAAUAUUUGGAGGAGUUUUUGAUUGUCACAAUUCAGGGGGUACUAUUGGCAUCUAGUCAGUCGGUAGAGGCCAGGGAUGCUGUUAAACGUCGUACAGUGCACAGGACACGGCUGCAACGAAGAAUUAUCCAAGUGUCAGUAGUGCCAAGGUUGAGAAAUUCAGCCUUAAUCCAAAGGAAUAAACCUCAAAUGGUGAACUUCUAGGCAUCGUGCCAGGUGAUUGGACCAAGAGUGGCAGGGAGGGAUUUUCUGGAACAUCAUUUUCGAUGAAAGAGAAAUUCAUACUACAUAAGCGCAGGUAAAAGGACACUAUUUUCCACAGUGGGCAGCCCAGUGUGGAGAGGCUAAUUAGCUCUAAGCAGUAAGAAUAAAAAUUUACAAUUACUUGAGUGACUCCUUUUCACCCUAGAAAGGAUAGAGACUGAAAUGAAAAGGGGAAGGAAAUUUAGAUAAAUUAACAAAACACAAAUUAAUGGGUACUCAGAGGAAAUUAGGAUGUUGGAUGUUUUGAGGAUAUCUUCAUUUUUUUUUUAAUUUUUAAGAAAUUCAUGGGACUUCCCUGGUGGCGCAGUGGUUCAGAAUCCGGCUGCCAUUGCAGGGGACAUGGAUUUGAUCCCUAGUCUGGGAAGAUCGCCCACACCGCGGAGCAACUAAGGCCGUGCGCCGCAACUACUGAGCCUGCACUCUGGAGUUCGCGAGCCACAACUACUGAAGCCCACGGGCCUAGAGCCCGUGCUCCACGGCAGGAGAAGCCACCGCAAUGAGAAGUCCGCACACCGCAAGGAAGAGUAGCUCCCGCUCGCCGCAACUAGAGAAAGCCCGCGUGCAGCAACGAAGAUCCAAUGCAGCCAAAAAUCAGUUCUGUAUUUCUCUACUUAUAAUGGUGACUUACGACUAUUUCUAGAUAAUGAAACAAAUCUUUUUGUCCUGCCCAAGUGACUCCAAAUUUACUCCUUUUUUAGUAGCUUAAUAGCUUUAUCCUUUGCAUUUGAAGGUAAACUUCAAAAGGGGUAAGAGCAAUCUUUAGAAUUUAAUUUGUAUCUAUGUUAUACCUAGUAUAGUGCUUCAGACAAUAAACUGAUU
Long non-coding RNA from Orcinus orca (killer whale), 3313 nucleotides. RefSeq lists it as uncharacterized. The record is from RefSeq and is a predicted model, not a curated record. The transcript is spliced from 3 exons. Lineage: Eukaryota; Metazoa; Chordata; Mammalia; Artiodactyla; Delphinidae.